Molecule: unclassified non-coding RNA, 294 nt
Filed under: uncultured bacterium
Lineage: Bacteria
Description: contains 16S-23S intergenic spacer region
Source: RNAcentral
UUGCCACUCUUGUUGCCGCCCUGGUUCUCCCCUUUGCCGCCGGCGCGGUCCGACUGAUCGCUACCGGACUGAUUGCCGUUGCUGCCUGAUUGAUUGCCCUGAUUGGCCAUUCGAUCUCACUCCUUAGCGCCCUGAUCGGCGCAGAGAGAAAAUUCACGAGAUCAGUGCACGUUCCUGCGCUCCAGGUAAGUAUAUUGUUACGUAUGAGCAUGAUCAGUACUGAGCUGAUAUUGCUAGGCUUUUCGAUCAGAUAAGAUAAAGUAAUCUUUGUGACUAACAUAAGUAAUUUUGGGG